UACAGAGGGUGCGAGCGUUAAUCGGAAUUACUGGGCGUAAAGGGUGCGUAGGUGGCGGGGCAAGUCUGGUGUGAAAUCCUGGGGCUCAACCCCGGAACUGCACUGGAUACUGCUUUGCUAGAGUACUGGAGAGGGAACUGGAAUUUACGGUGUAGCAGUGAAAUGCGUAGAUAUCGUAAGGAAGACCAGUGGCGAAGGCGAGUUCCUGGACAGUUACUGACACUGAGGCACGAAGGCCAGGGGAGCAAACGGG
This 253-nucleotide ribosomal RNA is filed under the name uncultured bacterium. RNAcentral's name for it is "partial 16S ribosomal RNA". It matches the Rfam family "Bacterial small subunit ribosomal RNA", at positions 524 to 776 of the family's 1533-position model. The record is from RNAcentral.